UAUGUUAUAGGAAUUUCAUUGUGAAAAAGAAAAAUAAUAAAAUUCAUAAUUAACUUUUAUCUGUUGGAUACCGUUAUAAGUCAGAUAACUUUAUCAGCAAUUGAAAAACAGACCUUUGAGGUAUUUAAUAUAUUAAUAACUUUUAAUGUCCGUAAAUACUCAUAACGUGGUUCUAUAUAGUUUCAUAGUGACUAGCAUAAAAUAAUCUGUACAAUAAAAAUGUCUACACCAUGUAUAUUUGCAAUUUGUAACAUCACUGGCCAUAUUCAGCGUUGUCUUUAUAUUUAUUAAUAAAAAAAGUAAAAUAAUUGUAUAAUGCUCAAUUUAAAUAAUGUAUUUUUAAAUGUAACAAAAAUAUAAAAAAUAAUUUUAAACAUUAUAUAGUGAAGAUUUUUUUUAAAUGUAUUUUUUGACAUUUAACAUUGAAUUUCACACAAGGAAUCCUAGUGUGGUAAUCACUAAUUAAUUUUAUUUUACUAUUGAAGAAAUAAAUAGUGCUGGUAACAUAGACUUCAUUAAAAAACAUUAUCCUUGCUAGUGACAGAAAGAAAUCAUGGUCUAACGUGCUCGUAUUAACAGAAUAUAAUAUAAAUUUAAGUAUUAUUCUAAUAUAUUAAUGAUUACUGUAAAAUUAAUGGAACGCUAUAUUCAUUAAUAUUAAGUACUGUAAAUACACAUCGAAUGGUGCAUGUAAAUUUGUUUAGAUGUCGAUUAUUUUAUUGUAAUAAACAUUGGUAUUUUAUUUUGUUUGUUUAAUUUUUACCAACUUAUCCUAUAAUUUGAUAUAACUAGUAUAUUUAUAAAUAUAUAUAUUUAUAAUUCUUGAAAGCGCCUCUAUAGAUUUGGAUGAAAUUUGCAAUGUAGGAAUCCGCAUACAUGUAUGAAAAAUCAGUUUAGCUGCAGCAUGAAACGUCGUGUCUGGAGAAAAUUGUACUAAUUUUUAUUUUAAUAAAGCGAUUAAAGCAA
Molecule: long non-coding RNA, 966 nt
Organism: Melitaea cinxia (Glanville fritillary)
Lineage: Eukaryota; Metazoa; Arthropoda; Insecta; Lepidoptera; Nymphalidae
Exons: 2
Source: RefSeq, a predicted model, not a curated record